CUCAUCUGGACUCACUGGGAGAAGUGAUUCACUAGAAUUCUCAUUGGAAGAAAUGACAGGAAAGCUCCCUCCAAUAUCUCAAUUUCCACCCCACUCAGUACCUGGUUUUAUGAUUCCACACCCUCCUAAUCCAUCCUGCCCUCCUAACACAUCCCACUCUCGUAAGCCAUCCCACUCUCGUGCCCGCGAAUCCCUCCCUCUUCUUCCAUCUGCCAAGCCCCUUCCUCCUCUCCAGAAGUACGUGGAUUUUUCAGUUUUCUGCCCUAACUGUUAUCCCACUGUGGCUCAUACCUGCCCUCCCCACUACCCUACCCUAAUACUCUACCUGCACUGCUCUUCUGCUAUUCAUUACAAACCAUCCAUUUGUCAAUGCUCUAGUCCCAGAACUCUUUCUGGUAACUCCCUUAUCGAUCACCCUAGCCCUCCUUCUAGCCCUACUGGUCAACGCUUGGGUCCCAGAACUCUUCCCUGUGAUUCCCUUAUCCGUUCUCCUGUUCCUCCUCCUAGCCCUCCUUGCCAACGCUCUGGUCCCAGAACUCUUUUCUGUGACUACCCUGUCUGUCCCCCUACUCCUCCUCCCAGCCCUACUUGCAAAUGCUGUCGUCCCAGAGCUGUUUCCUGGGACUCCUCUACCUAUGCCUCUACCCCUCCUCCUUAGCCCUACUUCUUUCUAGUACCCUGUACUCUAGUCCCCAGCCCCCAGCCCUGCCAUCCCCAACCAGACCUUAUGGUUCACAAGUCUCAUCUUGGAGAUGGUUUCCCUGCUCCCGGGGCAGUUCUGGAACAGUUCAGGAUGGCCAGGACUGUGGAUUCCCAGCAGUCUGACCUCGUGGACAAAGGAAAUGCAAGACGAUGGCAAACCAGCAUUCAGCCUCACCAGCCUGCAUGAGCCUCUACAUUUGUUCCUGGCUUCUCCAUGGAACUCGGUCUACAGCCACAAAGCAAACCACAGGGCCAGUGACAGAGAAGGCAGAGGGGAGUGUGGAGUGGGAAGCACCUAACCUGUUCUCAAGGAGGGGAAUGAUUGGCCAAGAUGAGUUUCAAUCGUAUGUCCACUACCUCCUGGCCUGCCACUUGGCUGUGAGUCCUUUCUGGGCGGUGUCCAGGGGCGGUUCCAGUGAUCAGGCAGGUGCUGAGAAGCACAGGCAGGUGAGUUAAGCACUGGAAGAAGGUGGGUGUGAAAUAAGAUCCUGAGAGGUGGGAGGGGACUGGGCAGGGUGGGUGACAGUAGGGGAAUGGGUGACAACACCAAAAUCUACUCCAGCAGGAUGAGGGGAUACUUGCCAGGAGACAGCAUGGGAUGCCAUUGCCUAGAGUUGGCAGAAGGACCAGGAGCAGGCAGGCAGCGAGAGAACACCCAGAGUGCUCCUGAUCGGACCAAGCUGCAUGGAGGCCACAAUGGGACACCUGAGGGAAAAGGUGACCCCAGAUGAGGUCCAUCGGAACCAGAUAUUGUGGGAACUGUCAAACCAGACCAAGAAGUAUGGAGGCCACAGAGGGACACCCCAGGGAGGUGACCCUGGAUGAGGUUCAUCAGAACUAGAUCUUGUGAGAACUACCUGACCAGACCAAGCAGCACAGAGGCCACGGUGAGACACCUGAGGGAGAAGGCGAACCCAGAUAAGGCUCAUCGGGUUCCGAUCUUGUGAGAACUGCAGAAGGCGACCACAGAUGAGGCUCAUCAGAACUAGAUCUUGUGAGAACUGCCUGAGCAGACCAAGCAGCACAGAGGCCACAGUGAGACACAUGAGGGAGAAGGUGAACCCAGAUGAGGCUCAUCAGGAACAGAUCUUGUGGGAACCAGAGAGGACAACCCCGGAUGAGGUCCAUCAGAACCAGAUCUUGUGGGAACUGCACUUCAAAGUGCUACAGACCCACAAACACUACAUGCAGCAUCACAUGAAUGCCCUCUGCAAGGGUGAGGGGCCUGGCAGGAUGGAGGAAAUACCAGAGAGGGGGGAUGCGCCCUGAAAAAAAGGAGAGCCCUGGGGACUGCGGAAGGUGGAGUGUGCGUCUCAUUAAAGGAGAAGAUACCUUCUCACACCCUACCUCCUUUUAUAGACUUUAGGAGCAAUGUCUUUGGAGGGGGCCUCACCUACAUCACAUCAGAUGCAUUAAAUAUAUUAAAAAGCAUUCACAUCUCAUGAAACAUUUUCACUGUAGAAAUGAGAGUUUUUCCAUCUGAAAAAUGGAAAUAACAACCCACCACUCCGUGAGUCUUUUAAGAAUUGAAGAUUUGCUUAAAGCAUGUAGCUCAGAGGAGGUAUACAAUAAGUAAUGUCUAUCAUC
This 2289-nucleotide long non-coding RNA is filed under the name Homo sapiens (human). Its description in RNAcentral is "non-protein coding LINC00442:5". Lineage: Eukaryota; Metazoa; Chordata; Mammalia; Primates; Hominidae. The record is from RNAcentral.